RNAcentral lists this long non-coding RNA (312 nucleotides) under Vitis vinifera (wine grape). RNAcentral describes it as "long non-coding RNA (VVIN_LNC004471)". The record is from RNAcentral. Lineage: Eukaryota; Viridiplantae; Streptophyta; Magnoliopsida; Vitales; Vitaceae.
UAAUAGGUUAUAAAUUUUGUUGAUUACUCCCUUUUGAGAACCACAAUCAAGGGAUACCAGCUGGACACGAUUCAGUUGAGACACCAAUUGGGAACGAAUCAAAUGGCGCCGUUGCCGGGGAUGGUGCCACUUUAUAGUGAUAUCACAUUUUCAGAGUACUUGUGAUCUUCAUCACAAGUUUGGUGACUUUUCUUUUCCUUUUACUAAUUUUUUAUUUUAUUUGUUUCUUUUUCUUUGUUCAUAUUUUUAGUAUAGCUUUUAAUUAAUCUUAAUAAUUUUUUCUUCUCUAGAAUUUUUGUUUCUUUUAUUUUG